CAGUCGCCGCGGGAAUACAGAGGGUGCGAGCGUUAAUCGGAUUUACUGGGCGUAAAGCGUGCGUAGGCGGCUUUUUAAGUCGGAUGUGAAAUCCCUGAGCUUAACUUAGGAAUUGCAUUCGAUACUGGAAAGCUAGAGUAUGGGAGAGGAUGGUAGAAUUCCAGGUGUAGCGGUGAAAUGCGUAGAGAUCUGGAGGAAUACCGAUGGCGAAGGCAGCCAUCUGGCCUAAUACUGACGCUGAGGUACGAAAGCAUGGGGAGCAAACAGGAUUAGAUACCCCCGUAGUCCCUGUCUCUUAUAC
RNAcentral lists this ribosomal RNA (301 nucleotides) under uncultured bacterium. Its description in RNAcentral is "partial 16S ribosomal RNA". It matches the Rfam family "Bacterial small subunit ribosomal RNA", at positions 509 to 807 of the family's 1533-position model. The record is from RNAcentral.